GUGGGGGAUAUUGCACAAUGGAGGAAACUCUGAUGCAGCGACGCCGCGUGAGUGAAGAAGUAUUUCGGUAUGUAAAGCUCUAUCAGCAGGGAAGAUAAUGACAGUACCUGACUAAGAAGCCCCGGCUAACUACGUGCCAGCAGCCGCGGUAAUACGUAGGGGGCAAGCGUUAUCCGGAUUUACUGGGUGUAAAGGGAGCGUAGACGGAAUGGCAAGUCUGAAGUGAAAUCCUGCGGCUUAACUGCAGAAUUGCUUUGGAAAUUGUCAAUCUGGAGAGUUGGAGAGGUGAGCGGAAUUCCUAGUGUAGCGGUGAAAUGCGUAGAUAUCAGUAAGAACACCGGAGGCGAAGGCGGCUUACUGGACAAUAACUGACGUUGAGGCGCGAAAGCGUGGGAAGCAAACAGGAUUAGAAACCCCGGUAGUCC
RNAcentral lists this ribosomal RNA (425 nucleotides) under uncultured bacterium. RNAcentral describes it as "partial 16S ribosomal RNA". It matches the Rfam family "Bacterial small subunit ribosomal RNA", at positions 354 to 796 of the family's 1533-position model. The record is from RNAcentral.